This is a long non-coding RNA of Eptesicus fuscus (big brown bat), 668 nucleotides long. RefSeq lists it as uncharacterized. The record is from RefSeq and is a predicted model, not a curated record. The transcript has 5 exons. Lineage: Eukaryota; Metazoa; Chordata; Mammalia; Chiroptera; Vespertilionidae.
UUAUUGCGUGUACUUAUCUACUGCCUGGGAUAAGAGACACCAUUAUAAAGAGAAAUGAGAUGGGGGAGGACACGUGAAAGAUUUCCCCUUCUGUUCCUCUGUGAAAUGCCUGCGGAAAUCUUUAACCAGUUUACAUUUUAAACUCUGAGCCACUCAUACACCCCAGCCAGAUGUAUGGAGGUGGAGUCCUGUCCUGUAGGGGAAAUUCAACUUCAGGAGUUGGAUACACAGCAGCCAGACCAGCCUGCGCAAACCAGUGCAAGAGGAGGGUAAUGAAGACGGAGAAGCCCUAGCCCCGAGGAGAAUCUCCAUUUGCCAAGACUGGGGCCAAGGUGAAGAACAGCUGAUUGGAAGAGCGACUGACAGCAUUUCAGGGGCUGGUGGCUAGACAUGCAUAGCAUUACUGGAGCUGAAAAGGUACAACUUAUCUUCUGUAGUAGGUAGACCACUCUCCAGGAAGACUGGGAGUAAAUGAAGCUCCGGGUUCAACUUCAAAGAAUUCAAAAUCCAGGCACGAGCUCUCCACAAGGAGAAUUACCCAGGAUGCUUUUGAGUUGGGUUCCAGGUCACUCCUUGGCUCCUCUCCAAGAGUUUUGUGCGACCCUCCUCAGGAACGGGUCAGUCAACAAAUACUUCACAGAAUUUGGGGGAAGCCUCUUCUCUCUGCC